This 253-nucleotide ribosomal RNA is filed under the name uncultured bacterium. RNAcentral describes it as "partial 16S ribosomal RNA". It matches the Rfam family "Bacterial small subunit ribosomal RNA", at positions 524 to 776 of the family's 1533-position model. The record is from RNAcentral.
UACGUAGGGGGCUAGCGUUGUCCGGAAUCAUUGGGCGUAAAGAGCGCGUAGGCGGCCAGAUAAGUCCGGUGUAAAAGUCACAGGCUCAACCUGUGAAUGCCGCUGGAAACUGUGUGGCUAGAGUCCGGAAGAGGAGAGUGGAAUUCCCGGUGUAGCGGUGAAAUGCGCAGAUAUCGGGAAGAACACCCGUGGCGAAGGCGGCUCUCUGGGACGGUACUGACGCUGAGACGCGAAAGCGUGGGGAGCAAACAGG